ACUCAAAUGAAUUGACGGGGACCUGCACAAGUGGUGGAGCGUGCGGUUUAAUUCGUCUCUAAGCGUAGAACCUUACCGAGGUUUGACAUCUCUGGAAAGUCCUGGAAACAGGACCGUGCCGCAAGGAACCAGAUGACAGGUGUUGCACGGUUGUCGUCAGCUCGUGCCGUGAGGUGUCCCGUUCAGUCGGUUAACGAGCGCAACCCCUACCUUGUGUUGUAUUUUUCACAAGGAACUGCCCUGGUCAACAGGGAGGAAGGUGGGGACGACGUCAAAUCAGCGUGGCUCUUACACCUCGGGCGACACGCGCGCUACAAUGGGAAGUAACAAAGGGUUGCCAAGCCGUAAGGCGGAGCUAAUCCCAUCAAACCUUCCCCCAGUUCGGAUUGAGGGCUGCAACUCGCCCUCAUGAAGUCGGAAUCACUAGUAACGGCCGGUCAGCCAUACGGCCGUGAAUACGUUCUCAGGUCUUGUACACACCGCCCGU
This 487-nucleotide ribosomal RNA is filed under the name uncultured bacterium. Its description in RNAcentral is "partial 16S ribosomal RNA". It matches the Rfam family "Bacterial small subunit ribosomal RNA", at positions 899 to 1397 of the family's 1533-position model. The record is from RNAcentral.